RNAcentral lists this ribosomal RNA (482 nucleotides) under uncultured bacterium. RNAcentral's name for it is "partial 16S ribosomal RNA". It matches the Rfam family "Bacterial small subunit ribosomal RNA", at positions 28 to 507 of the family's 1533-position model. The record is from RNAcentral.
GACGAACGCUGGCGGCGUGCUUAACACAUGCAAGUCGAACGAUGAAGAAGAGACACGCGAACUUCGGUUCAACUUUCACUUCGGAUUAGUGGCAGACGGGUGAGUAACGCGUGAGCAACCUACCUCUUACAAAGGGAUAGCCUCGGGAAACCGUGAUUAAUACCAUAUGACACAUUCAUAAGGCAUCUUAAGAAUGUUAAAGCUACGGCGGUAAGCGAUGGGCUCGCGUCCCAUUAGCUAGUUGGUGAGGUAACGGCCCACCAAGGCGACGAUGGGUAACCGGCCUGAGAGGGUGAACGGUCACAUUGGAACUGAGACACGGUCCAAACUCCUACGGGAGGCAGCAGUGGGGAAUAUUGCACAAUGGAGGGAACUCUGAUGCAGCGACGCCGCGUGAGCGAUGAAGGAAUUCGUGUCGUAAAGCUCUGUUCUAUGGGAAGAAAAGGACUGUACCAUAGGAGAAAGCCCCGGCUAAAUACGUG